AGAACGAACGCUGGCGGCAGGCCUCAAACAUGCAAGUCUAGGGGGGUGUAGCAAUACAUCACCGGCGGACGGGUGCGUAACACGUGGGAAUAUACCUUUUGGUUCGGAACAACGCAGGGAAACUUGCGCUAAUACCGAAUGUGCCCUUACGGGGGAAAGAUUUAUCGCCAAAGGAUUAGCCCGCGUAGGAUUAGCUAGUUGGUGAGGUAAUGGCUCACCAAGGCUCCGAUCCUUAGCUGUUCUGAGAGGAAGAUCAGCCACACUGGGACUGAGACACGGCCCAGACUCCUACGGGAGGCAGCAGUUGGGAAUCUUGGACAAUGGGGAAACCCUGAUCCAGCCAUGCCGCGUGAGUGAUGAAGGCCUUCGGGUUGUAAAACUCUUUCGACGGGGACGAUAAUGACGGUACCCGUAGAAGAAGCUCCGGCUAACUUCGUGCCAGCAGCCGC
Molecule: ribosomal RNA, 449 nt
Filed under: uncultured bacterium
Lineage: Bacteria
Description: SSU rRNA
Rfam family: Bacterial small subunit ribosomal RNA
Source: RNAcentral